Molecule: long non-coding RNA, 1995 nt
Organism: Panicum virgatum (switchgrass)
Lineage: Eukaryota; Viridiplantae; Streptophyta; Magnoliopsida; Poales; Poaceae
Exons: 3
Source: RefSeq, a predicted model, not a curated record
UGUGAUCUACUUGUUUGUUAUAUGAUUUGUCUCUGAACGGCUCUUUCUUGUUAAGUGUGCAUGGUUUAUUAUUAGAGAGUUCUGUUGUUCAUGACAGUUGAUUGCCAUGGAGCUUUACAUGAUCAGCCCUUGUUUCUUGUGCAUUCACUGAGGAUGUUGUACAUCUUUCAGUAAGGGAAUCUACAGAAAUGGUUUGCACGCCUAAGCAAACAAAAAUAAAAUAAAAAACGAAGCUUCAAACAAUGUUUUAAAUAUAACUGGAAAUCUUUCAGAAUGCUUAGGUGCUUACUUGCUUCAGCUAAUCUUUAAGGACAAUCAUGAGAUGUUUAAAAUUUUCGGCCACCUAUCUGUUUAUUCACAUGCUUCCAGUGAUUGUAAAUUGGUAAUUGCUUAUGCUCUGUCCAUACUCCGUCCUAUGCAUACGGAAGUCAAGAGUCAGAUUGUAAUGCGUAACUUCUAGUUCCUGUUUCUAGUUCAAUGUUUUCUUUUUAUCUCAUCCCCUAAAUAUAAUUUUGCCAACCGUAAAAGAUUAAUUGGUUUUUGCGGCUUCAAAAAUAUAAUAGACAUGCAUAUUUUUUAAUCCUUUGUAAUACCUUCAAAAUGGUUAAAUAACAUGUUUUUUAUAGUAGUGCAACAUUAUGACUGAUACACAUAGCAGCAUGGCAAUAGAAAACUCAUAGAAAAAGUAUUUUGGAUAAAAGAAUACUAAUAUGCUGUUGUACAUGGUAGAAUGUAUAAGUCUUGUAAAAAAGUUCUGCCUACAUAAAGUUUAUAUGAAUAUGCUGUUUCUUAUGAGGUUUGUUUACCGUUGGACCAUGGUAGUGUAUUCAGGUUGAUUUUCAGGUCCGUGACAUGAUCAUGCUAAUUGUUUGGAUAUACGUUUAAAAGAAUAGGCUGAUCCUUGGUGUAGUCUUUAUAGGCAGAUGCUGAUACUUGGUAACAGUCUUGAACCUAACAGAUUGGAGCUAAGGUAGCAGUAUUCUGAUCCGUGACAUCAGUAUCAUGCAUGGAGGUUUGUACUAGAAAACUUAGCUUCUGACAGAUUUGUAUCCACUGGUUACAAAAUCUUGCUGAAGCUAAUACUUUAUGUCCAAAAGAAACUUCAUUAUGGUCGAAUAUAUGUACAUGUAGACCCUUGAACAAAAUUCAGUCCCCAGAUGCGAUUUUUUCGAAUUAUCUCUUGCAGGAAUGCUGAAAAGCUCAUUCACUCAGUAGAAGAUAGCUGAUAUUGCUGAUAAAGCAUAUUGGUCUCAUCGUGGAUUAUUGUUCCCUGAGGCUAGAACCGAUUCUUCUCUACCGGUAAAGCUGCUUUUGGAGACAAAGCCAACAGAAGUUGAUUCACUAGUGAAGUUGAGCUGUCCGAGGCAGGCCCAUACCGUAACAUUCCUGGCUGCAGCGAAUGGGGUCAUGACCGUACCAGCGGCGACCUGGAUUCCGGCAAGGAAGAUCGAAGAUCGCGGCCACCUCACUCUCUAGUCUCCGGGUUUGUUCCAAGGCGGCAUCCCCAAGCAGCUCCUGGAGGGUGAAUGAGAGGGGAGGGAGAGGUGCAGGCGAUUGGUGUGGGGUCAGGUUCAGGCCUUGCCAUGAAGAUUCAGAUUCAUCGAGUGCGCUGCCGUCGCAAGCAGGUUAAUCGAGAACCUGCACAGCGCGACGGAGAUUAGGAGCAUCCAGGACGGCGAGAAGAGGUACUAGGACACAGUUGUGGGACGAUGUGCCUAUGCCGCCAGUUAUGUGUGGAUGUUAGGGCCCAGAAGCAGCCGGCCCAGGCCCAAGAGCAGCAGCCGGUGCAACAGCCCACGGCCCCGGCGUGGAUCACGUACCAACGCCAGGGGCGCCGCACAAGUGGCUAGAAGAGCCAGGGUGACUUAUUUCAUUUAGGCCUUAUUUACUUUGCUAAAGUGUGGGAUAAUUUGUAAGUUAAAUAAUCUCCACUAGAUGAAAAAAAUAUUAGGCUGAGUAUCAAUCUCGGCUUGGCCUCAAGGGGCCGCCCCUAAA